UGGGGAAUCUUGCGCAAUGCGCGAAAGCGUGACGCAGCAACGCCGCGUGGGGGAAGAAGGCCUUCGGGUUGUAAACCCCUUUCAGGAGGGACGAAGCCUCGGCCGUUAAUAGCGGAUCGGGGUGACGGUACCUCCAGAAGAAGCCCCGGCUAACUACGUGCCAGCAGCCGCGGUAAUACGUAGGGGGCAAGCGUUUUCCGGAAUCAUUGGGCGUAAAGCGCGUGUAGGCGGUCCGGUAAGUCGGCUGUGAAAGUCCAGGGCUCAACCCUGGGAUGCCGGUCGAUACUGCCGGACUAGAGUUCGGAAGAGGCGAGUGGAAUUCCCGGUGUAGCGGUGAAAUGCGCAGAUAUCGGGAGGAACACCAAUGGCGAAGGCAGCUCGCUGGGACGUUACUGACGCUGAGACGCGAAAGCGUGGGGAGCAAACAGG
RNAcentral lists this ribosomal RNA (429 nucleotides) under Bacillota bacterium. Its description in RNAcentral is "Firmicutes bacterium partial 16S ribosomal RNA". It matches the Rfam family "Bacterial small subunit ribosomal RNA", at positions 355 to 776 of the family's 1533-position model. Lineage: Bacteria; Bacillati; Bacillota. The record is from RNAcentral.